Molecule: transfer RNA, 86 nt
Filed under: Microbacterium aurum
Lineage: Bacteria; Bacillati; Actinomycetota; Actinomycetes; Micrococcales; Microbacteriaceae
Rfam family: tRNA
About the family: Transfer RNA (tRNA) molecules are approximately 80 nucleotides in length.
Source: Rfam by way of RNAcentral
GGAGCGGCGGCGGUCUGGCUCCCGCACCACCCUGCUAAGGUGGAGUCCCCUUACGGGGACCGAGGGUUCAAAUCCCUCCGUCUCCG